UCAAAACAACUGGUUGGUGGUGUUGAGCUAGGUCGCCAGUUCAUAGAAGUGCAAGUUGAUCAACCUAUUGAUGAAUGUGAGCUCUUGGUAAGGGAAAGGGAAAACUGUAGAACAGUUGGCGAUGCUUUCACCUCUGGAUUGACAAUUGCUUGGCCUUCAGCAUGUAUUGAGAGGUUCAGUGGUUGAGUUGAUUCGGAUGCUUCUGCUCAGGAGGAAUCAAGAUGCGAAUAUGAUAUAUUUGUUUAAGAAAGAUUUGGAGGGUGCAUUUGGGUGAACAUUAGUAGGGGUGUCACACGCUUUUAGUGAUAGGAAAUCUUUUGCAUAUUAUAGUUUACAUUACUAGGUUGAGAAAUGUAAUUUGUUGCUACAACAUGGAUCUUCUAUAUAUUCACGUUACAAGUGCUAUUGAAUGACAUGAACCAUAUUUUUUAUUUUA
Hordeum vulgare subsp. vulgare (domesticated barley) is the source of this 436-nucleotide long non-coding RNA. RefSeq lists it as uncharacterized. The record is from RefSeq and is a predicted model, not a curated record. The transcript has 2 exons. NCBI's taxonomy places the organism in Eukaryota, Viridiplantae, Streptophyta, Magnoliopsida, Poales, Poaceae.